This is a long non-coding RNA of Passer montanus (Eurasian tree sparrow), 587 nucleotides long. RefSeq lists it as uncharacterized. NCBI's taxonomy places the organism in Eukaryota, Metazoa, Chordata, Aves, Passeriformes, Passeridae. The record is from RefSeq and is a predicted model, not a curated record. The transcript is spliced from 3 exons.
CCUCUGAAGUGGUGAGGUGUUGCUCUGUGUGGGUAAAUGCUUAAAGCCUUCUGGAAUUGUAUGGUGACAUCCUUUGUGUUGUGAUUGUUUGAACUGUGACAUUCCAAGAGUAUCAGAAUUGGUGGAAAACACUGCAGGAGAGCAAACCUCGUUUUUCACAAGUCCACAAAAUCUUUGUGAAGAGGGUUGGAGUACUCCUGAGGGGAGGUAUGAGGAUGGAAGUGAGUCCAAGAGCAAUGUAGCACUGGAGCUGAGGGAGCUGCCUCACUUUGCUGCUCACAGGGCACAUGGAGCUGAGCUGACACCAGCAAACCCCCUUCAGCUCAGCAGGGAGUGUCUGAACAACAGAAACAGAGCCACAGACAUCCAGGUGCAACAAUGGCAUUUGAAAAUAUUUCAGAGUUCCUGAUGUGUCAACCUGUAGGCUGGAUGCAGUUCUCUCUGUGCUAAAGAGCUUGGAAGGAAGGAAGGAAGUUUUCAGCCUCACAGCUGGUAUGGAGCUGGCUAACAACUAACUUCAGCAGAAGGGGCCUGAAACCUUCCCAAUGAUCACAGGGACAGGCAGAGCAGCAGUUGAUCUGAUGAGG